RNAcentral lists this ribosomal RNA (328 nucleotides) under uncultured eukaryote. Its description in RNAcentral is "partial 18S ribosomal RNA". It matches the Rfam family "Eukaryotic small subunit ribosomal RNA", at positions 1470 to 1796 of the family's 1831-position model. The record is from RNAcentral.
CCCUUAGAUGUUCUGGGCUGCACGCGCGCUACACUGAAGCGUUCAACGAGUAUUCACCUUGCCCGGGAGGGUUGGGUAAUCUUUUGAAAACGCUUCGUGAUGGGGAUAGAUUAUUGCAAUUAUUAAUCUUCAACGAGGAAUUCCUAGUAAACGCAAGUCAUCAGCUUGCAUUGAUUACGUCCCUGCCCUUUGUACACACCGCCCGUCGCACCUACCGAUUGAAUGGUCCGGUGAAAUCUUCGGAUCUGAGAGAUGUCUGAUUAAUUUCGGACGCCUUUUGGAAAAGUUGCUUAAACCUUACCAUUUAGAGGAAGGUGAAGUCGUANCA